This 253-nucleotide ribosomal RNA is filed under the name uncultured bacterium. RNAcentral's name for it is "partial 16S ribosomal RNA". It matches the Rfam family "Bacterial small subunit ribosomal RNA", at positions 524 to 776 of the family's 1533-position model. The record is from RNAcentral.
UACGGAGGGUGCAAGCGUUAUCCGGAUUCACUGGGUUUAAAGGGUGCGUAGGUGGGCAGGUAAGUCAGUGGUGAAAUCUCCGGGCUUAACUCGGAAACUGCCAUUGAUACUAUCUUUCUUGAAUACCGUGGAGGUCAGCGGAAUAUGUCAUGUAGCGGUGAAAUGCUUAGAUAUUACAUGGAACACCAAUUGCGAAGGCAGCUCACUACGGGAUUAUUGACACUGAGGCACGAAAGCGUGGGGAUCAAACAGG